UUAUUCUAUUAUAAAACCCUAAACCGAAAUCAAAACCCGUUAGCCCAUACUCCCCGACGCCCUAUAAAAGCGCCAGUAAUAAGCUCAUUGAUUCUCAGCCGUCAAGGAUAAAGUUCCAGAAAGAACGGAAGAAAUCGUAAGAGAAACCCUUAAAACGCAGUACGACUGCUGAUAGGGUUUGCACAUUGAACUGGAGUUGCGAUUCUCUCUAGACUGGCAGAGACAAGUGGUAUUGAUUAGAGGUUCAAGAUGGUUGCAACUGUUGGUUCAUAGAAGGGAUACCCAAAAUCAUUUUUUCCUGCAAGAAUAAGUUUUGCAUCCGCUCUGUAUUUGUAGCUAUUGUGUGAUUUGCAUGAUUUCAAUCUGAUCUGAGGUGUUGUGGAUUGGGUGGGUGGCUUGGAGAAUUUUAAAUGAGAUUUGAACUUCCUGAGUCGGAUCUACGGCCCUUUCUCAAUCACUCUAGCUUCAAGUUCUUGAUUUGGUGGAACAGAGCAAAUAUGAAACCUUAAAGGAGAAAAUGGAAGAGAAGCAGAGAGAAAACAGUAGCAUAAAUCAUAGCACAAGUCACAGAUGAAAAUGAAAGGAGAAAAUACGAAAACCUUAACUGCUUGCUGGAACCUUGAAGGGAAAAUGGAA
Molecule: long non-coding RNA, 636 nt
Organism: Juglans microcarpa x Juglans regia
Lineage: Eukaryota; Viridiplantae; Streptophyta; Magnoliopsida; Fagales; Juglandaceae
Exons: 2
Source: RefSeq, a predicted model, not a curated record